GCGCCAAAAGAUGUUAACUGCAAGUGGCGGGAAAAUUAAACUUUUUUUACUAAUAGUCCAUUUUCUUACAUAUAAUACCGAUUUUUGACUCCGAAGUUAUAAUAUUUAGACAAGUUACGUGUAAUAAGAUAUUCUGGUCCCGGUUCUAGCAAAAGCAACAAGAUAAGGUAAAUUUUUUUUUUGAGGGAGGGGUCACUAUUUUAUGUUUUCCAUGAAACAUGACAAACUAAUUGCACCGAUUUUAAGUUUGACUUUACUUCUUUUAGUUGCCCUCACUUGAACUAAUACCAGAAAAUCCCUACUAUAGAGACGGUAACCUGUCUAAAAAUCAUAUACUCCCGAGUCAAAGUUCGGUAAUACGAAAAGAGAUAAUGCAAAUUAAUUUGUCACUACUUAUAAAUUAAAGAAAGUUUGUGAUUAUUUUUGUGUGAACAACUUCAUUAUAUGAGCUUGAUACAAAAUUCAAGAUUCAUAUUAACAUUUCUCAAGAAAGAUAUUUUAUUCGUCGGUGUUACAUCGUCU
RNAcentral lists this long non-coding RNA (522 nucleotides) under Mytilus galloprovincialis (Mediterranean mussel). Lineage: Eukaryota; Metazoa; Mollusca; Bivalvia; Mytilida; Mytilidae. The record is from RNAcentral.